AGUACGGCCGCAAGGUUAAAACUCAAAGGAAUUGACGGGGACCCGCACAAGCGGUGGAGCAUGUGGUUUAAUUCGAUGCAACGCGAAGAACCUUACCUGGUCUUGACAUCCUGCGAACUUUCUAGAAAUAGAUUGGUGCCUUCGGGAACGCAGUGACAGGUGCUGCAUGGCUGUCGUCAGCUCGUGUCGUGAGAUGUUGGGUUAAGUCCCGUAACGAGCGCAACCCCUAUCCUUAUUUGCCAGCACAUCAUGGUGGGAACUAUAAGGAGACUGCCGGUGAUAAACCGGAGGAAGGCGGGGACGACGUCAAGUCAUCAUGGCCCUUACGACCAGGGCUACACACGUGCUACAAUGGGAAGGACAAAGAGCCGCGAAGCCGCGAGGUGUAGCUAAUCUCAUAAACCUUUUCGUAGUCCGGAUUGGAGUCUGCAACUCGACUCCAUGAAGUCGGAAUCGCUAGUAAUCGUAGAUCAGAAUGCUACGGUGAAUACGUUCCCGGGUCUUGUACACACCGCCCGUCAUACCAUGGGAGUGGGUUGCACCAGAAGUGGCUAGUCUAACUUUAUUGAGGACGGUCACCACGGUGUGAUUCAUGACUGGGGUAAAGUCGUAACAAGGUAACC
Molecule: ribosomal RNA, 623 nt
Filed under: uncultured marine bacterium
Lineage: Bacteria
Description: bacterial SSU rRNA
Rfam family: Bacterial small subunit ribosomal RNA
Source: RNAcentral